Molecule: long non-coding RNA, 777 nt
Organism: Mugil cephalus (flathead mullet)
Lineage: Eukaryota; Metazoa; Chordata; Actinopteri; Mugiliformes; Mugilidae
Exons: 2
Source: RefSeq, a predicted model, not a curated record
ACUUGAGAUUGAAAAAAACAAAAUAAGAAAACAAACUCAACUGCUCCUCAGUGACACGAGCAUUAUGUAAUUCCUUGUGUGUUAUGUAUUUUGUAAUUAUGGCCAUGUGUACUCAGUGACCCGUGAGCAGCUGGAUGAUGUUCAAGAAAAGUUUAGGCAAUGCUCAGGUUUCCUGGUUUUCUUUCUUUUUUUAAUCUGUACCAGCGAUAACAGAAACAGUGAAGGGUGAAAUGUCUCGUGUUCAGACCUGCAACACAGACACAUGGUAACUGGUGCUUUAAGUACUGUGCCACCGGAUAAAUCACUGGACUCUUCCACUCUACAGGUAAACUUAAACAUUUAUCACAUGGCUAACUAACCAUAGACAAAUCUUCAAUGUACUCUGCACACAUAAUAUUCACAAUAUUCUGUUUUGCUGUUGUCCUCAUCCCCAAUACACCUCUAAAAUAUAAAUACAAUACAUAGAAAUAAACACCAUGACUUGAAAUCUCCCCACUUCCUAUCCUGUCACCUGGUCUCUCCUGGAACCUUUAUGAAGGUGCUGUGCCCCAGGGGGAAUCCUUUGGCUGCGCACCGCGGAGUACACACCUGACUGGACAGGGGGAGCGAGUGCGCGCUCCCACACCUGCCCGACGGCACGCGAUCAACCGCGGUCACGAGGUUCCCUGAAAGCUCAUACAUGGUCAAUAAAGUUAAAUAUCUGUAAAGAUGUGCAAAUAAGCAAUGUACAAAAUGUAUUGUGCAAACCACGGUAAAUAAAGUGCUAUCGUGACUCAA